GCCCGGGUAGCUCAAUUGGCCAGAGCGUGCGGCUUUUACGUCUUCUUCAGGACAGUCACCGCAAGGCUGAGGGUUCGACCCCCUCCUCGGGCG
This 93-nucleotide transfer RNA is filed under the name Ilyonectria sp. MPI-CAGE-AT-0026. It matches the Rfam family "tRNA". Rfam says of the family: Transfer RNA (tRNA) molecules are approximately 80 nucleotides in length. Their secondary structure includes four short double-helical elements and three loops (D, anti-codon, and T loops). Further hydrogen bonds mediate the characteristic L-shaped molecular structure. tRNAs have two regions of fundamental functional importance: the anti-codon, which is responsible for specific mRNA codon recognition, and the 3' end, to which the tRNAs corresponding amino acid is attached (by aminoacyl-tRNA synthetases). tRNAs cope with the degeneracy of the genetic code in two manners: having more than one tRNA (with a specific anti-codon) for a particular amino acid; and 'wobble' base-pairing, i.e. permitting non-standard base-pairing at the 3rd anti-codon position. The record is from Rfam by way of RNAcentral. Lineage: Eukaryota; Fungi; Ascomycota; Sordariomycetes; Hypocreales; Nectriaceae.